UCAUAGCUCCUAUUCUCUUCAUUAAUAACAACAGGCAGAGCAGAACCUACGUAUUCCAAGGAUUCCAUGCAAUCCACAAAAUUAUGAUAAGACUACUGUGAUCUUCAAAGGAAAGCCAUGAACUGAAGAAAUUACCAUACAGCUAUAAUCACUGCAUUCAUUGAGCAUUCCUUCUUCAUAACAAAAAGCCCUUAGCUACAGAUGUCCAUUAUGUUUUUUGACCUUCUUCAUACUUCGAUUGUUUCAAGUCAUAUGGAAACAGUGGGAAGGGCUGAAAAUGAAUACUAAGAGAAAUUUUGGUGACGUCACAAUAUCCAAG
Molecule: unclassified non-coding RNA, 319 nt
Filed under: Hevea brasiliensis (rubber tree)
Lineage: Eukaryota; Viridiplantae; Streptophyta; Magnoliopsida; Malpighiales; Euphorbiaceae
Source: RNAcentral